CCGGCCUCCUUUCGGGGCCGGAUUUUUUUGCGGCCGCCGAUUCAAGGCCACGGCAAAAAAAAAGCCGGAGCAAAGGCAUUGCGCCUUUCGCUCCGGCUUUUGUAU
RNAcentral lists this small RNA (105 nucleotides) under Paenibacillus sp. P22. RNAcentral describes it as "Repression of heat shock gene expression (ROSE) element". Lineage: Bacteria; Bacillati; Bacillota; Bacilli; Caryophanales; Paenibacillaceae. The record is from RNAcentral.